GGUACUCGAGUGGCGAACGGGUGAGUAACACGUGGGUGAUCUGCCCUGCACUUCGGGAUAAGCUUGGGAAACUGGGUCUAAUACCGGAUAGGAACCAUCUUUAGUGUGGUGGUUGGAAAGUUUUUUCGGUGUAGGAUGAGCUCGCGGCCUAUCAGCUUGUUGGUGGGGUAAUGGCCUACCAAGGCGGCGACGGGUAGCCGGCCUGAGAGGGUGUACGGCCACAUUGGGACUGAGAUACGGCCCAGACUCCUACGGGAGGCAGCAGUGGGGAAUAUUGCACAAUGGGCGCAAGCCUGAUGCAGCGACGCCGCGUGGGGGAUGAAGGCCUUCGGGUUGUAAACUCCUUUCGCUAGGGACGAAGCUUUUUGGUGACGGUACCUAGAUAAGAAGCACCGGCUAACUACGUGCCAGCAGCCGCGGUAAUACGUAGGGUGCGAGCGUUGUCCGGAAUUACUGGGCGUAAAGGGCUCGUAGGUGGUUUGUCGCGUCGUCUGUGAAAUUCUGGGGCUUAACUCCGGGCGUGCAGGCGAUACGGGCAUAACUUGAGUGCUGUAGGGGUAACUGGAAUUCCUGGUGUAGCGGUGAAAUGCGCAGAUAUCAGGAGGAACACCGAUGGCGAAGGCAGGUUACUGGG
Molecule: ribosomal RNA, 634 nt
Filed under: uncultured Actinomycetales bacterium
Lineage: Bacteria; Bacillati; Actinomycetota; Actinomycetes; Actinomycetales
Description: bacterial SSU rRNA
Rfam family: Bacterial small subunit ribosomal RNA
Source: RNAcentral